This is a long non-coding RNA of Amphimedon queenslandica, 191 nucleotides long. RefSeq lists it as uncharacterized. Lineage: Eukaryota; Metazoa; Porifera; Demospongiae; Haplosclerida; Niphatidae. The record is from RefSeq and is a predicted model, not a curated record. The transcript is spliced from 3 exons.
AGAGGAGAAGCAACAGAUUAUUACUGAAGAUUAUGAAAAACUGAAACUCAAUGUAGCUGAUAUGGAGGAACAAUAUCUGAAGGAGAAACAGAUCAUUAUUGACGACAGUCAAAAUCUCAUUUCUGAGAAAGACAAAGUUAUAGCCAAACUGACAUCACAAGUAGAGGAACAAUCACAGAAUGAGAAACAGA